GGUCUCGUAGCUCAGUUGGCUAGAGCUUUGGCUGUACUGAAGCCUUUUCCGUCGCUGGCGUGGGUUCAAAUCCCACCGAGGCCG
RNAcentral lists this transfer RNA (84 nucleotides) under Schistocephalus solidus. It matches the Rfam family "tRNA". From Rfam's summary of the family: Transfer RNA (tRNA) molecules are approximately 80 nucleotides in length. Their secondary structure includes four short double-helical elements and three loops (D, anti-codon, and T loops). Further hydrogen bonds mediate the characteristic L-shaped molecular structure. tRNAs have two regions of fundamental functional importance: the anti-codon, which is responsible for specific mRNA codon recognition, and the 3' end, to which the tRNAs corresponding amino acid is attached (by aminoacyl-tRNA synthetases). tRNAs cope with the degeneracy of the genetic code in two manners: having more than one tRNA (with a specific anti-codon) for a particular amino acid; and 'wobble' base-pairing, i.e. permitting non-standard base-pairing at the 3rd anti-codon position. The record is from Rfam by way of RNAcentral. Lineage: Eukaryota; Metazoa; Platyhelminthes; Cestoda; Diphyllobothriidea; Diphyllobothriidae.